CUCUAAGGCUGUCUCACCCUCUUGUGAAUCAUUCCCUCUGUCAUCUCUAAGUGUAUCUGAGGCUGACGUAGAAGGGGCGAAUCCCAACCCCUAAGUUCAUUUUGAGAGAGAAGGAGCGUGUGCAUUCAGCCUCUCCGAGUUAGGACCCGAGACAGCAUCCAGGGCCCUGUCUUUGACCUCUCUUCCUAGUCUUCACUGUUAUGACCGUUUCCUUGCUAUUCUGAGGGUAGUCCUGUGACUGGAGCAGAGAAGGGCCACCAGUCAUGAGGAGAGCAUCUCCAGCCUUCAUUGUGACCAGGCAAAGUGUGGAUGGUUGCCAAGACAGAAGUCCCUCCUGUGCAGGCUGUUUCUGAACUCAGCUGAAGCUUCUGGGUAGCGGAGCUUAUCUGGCUGCAUCCGGAUAAGAGCUCUCUUUGUAAGCGACUGACUUGAGAUAGAGUUUGCCAGCUCCGGAGGUACAGAACAUGUGUUUAUGUUUGCCCCGGAAGCAGGUGUUAGAGAUGUGAG
Molecule: long non-coding RNA, 507 nt
Filed under: Androctonus crassicauda
Lineage: Eukaryota; Metazoa; Arthropoda; Arachnida; Scorpiones; Buthidae
Source: RNAcentral